This 501-nucleotide ribosomal RNA is filed under the name uncultured bacterium. RNAcentral describes it as "bacterial SSU rRNA". It matches the Rfam family "Bacterial small subunit ribosomal RNA", at positions 36 to 507 of the family's 1533-position model. The record is from RNAcentral.
CUGGCGGCGUGCUUAACACAUGCAAGUCGAACGAGAAGAGAUGAGAAGCUUGCUUCUUAUUGAUUCGAGUGGCAAACGGGUGAGUAACGCGUAAGCAACCUGCCCUUCAGAUGGGGACAACAGCUGGAAACGGUUGCUAAUACCGAAUACGUUCUUUUUGUCGCAUGGCAGAGGGAAGAAAGGGAGGCUCUUCGGAGCUUUCGCUGAAGGAGGGGCUUGCGUCUGAUUAGCUAGUUGGAGGGGUAACGGCCCACCAAGGCGACGAUCAGUAGCCGGUCUGAGAGGAUGAACGGCCACAUUGGGACUGAGACACGGCCCAGACUCCUACGGGAGGCAGCAGUGGGGAAUCUUCCGCAAUGGACGAAAGUCUGACGGAGCAACGCCGCGUGAACGAUGACGGCCCUCGGGUUGUAAAGUUCUGUUAUACGGGACGAAUGGCGUAGCGGUCAAUACCCGUUACGAGUGACGGUACCGUAAGAGAAAGCCACGGCUAACUACGUG